This 302-nucleotide ribosomal RNA is filed under the name uncultured bacterium. RNAcentral describes it as "partial 16S ribosomal RNA". It matches the Rfam family "Bacterial small subunit ribosomal RNA", at positions 508 to 809 of the family's 1533-position model. The record is from RNAcentral.
GCAGUAGCCGCGGGAAUACGGAGGGUGCAAGCGUUAAUCGGAAUUACUGGGCGUAAAGCGUGCGUAGGCGGUUCGUUAAGUCUGUUGUGAAAGCCCCGGGCUCAACCUGGGGAUGGCAAUGGAUACUGGCGAGCUAGAGUGUGUCAGAGGAUGGUGGAAUUCCCGGUGUAGCGGUGAAAUGCGUAGAGAUCGGGAGGAACAUCAGUGGCGAAGGCGGCCAUCUGGGACAACACUGACGCUGAGGCACGAAAGCGUGGGGAGCAAACAGGAUUAGAUACCCCGGUAGUCCCUGUCUCUUAUAA